This 468-nucleotide ribosomal RNA is filed under the name uncultured bacterium. Its description in RNAcentral is "bacterial SSU rRNA". It matches the Rfam family "Bacterial small subunit ribosomal RNA", at positions 917 to 1382 of the family's 1533-position model. The record is from RNAcentral.
GGACCCGCACAAGCGGUGGAGCAUGUGGUUUAAUUCGACGCAACGCGAAGAACCUUACCUGGAUUUGACAUCCUCUGACAUCCAUAGAAAUAUGGCUUUUUAUGCUUGCAUAAACAGAGUGACAGGUGCUGCAUGGCUGUCGUCAGCUCGUGUCGUGAGAUGUUGGGUUAAGUCCCGCAACGAGCGCAACCCUUGUUUUUAGUUGCCAUUAUUAAGUUAGGCACUCUAAAAAUACUGCCUCGGUUAACGGGGAGGAAGGUGGGGAUGACGUCAAGUCCUCAUGGCCUUUAUAUCCAGGGCUACACACGUGCUACAAUGGGCUGUACAAAGAGUUGCCACUUCGCGAGAAGGAGCUAAUCUCAAAAAGCAGUUCUCAGUUCGGAUUGAAGUCUGCAACCCGACUUCAUGAAGUUGGAAUCGCUAGUAAUCGUGGAUCAGCAUGCCACGGUGAAUACGUUCCCGGGUCUU